RNAcentral lists this transfer RNA (76 nucleotides) under Campylobacterales bacterium. RNAcentral describes it as "tRNA-Arg". It matches the Rfam family "tRNA". Rfam says of the family: Transfer RNA (tRNA) molecules are approximately 80 nucleotides in length. Their secondary structure includes four short double-helical elements and three loops (D, anti-codon, and T loops). The record is from RNAcentral. Lineage: Bacteria; Pseudomonadati; Campylobacterota; Epsilonproteobacteria; Campylobacterales.
GUCCUCAUCGCUUAACAGGAUAAAGCAGGGCCCUCCUAAGGCCUAGCUCGAGGUUCAAGUCCUCGUGGGGACACCA